GUAGGGUGCGAGCGUUAAUCGGAAUUACUGGGCGUAAAGCGUGCGCAGGCGGUUCUAUAAGACAGAUGUGAAAUCCCCGGGCUUAACCUGGGAACUGCGUUUGUGACUGUAGGACUGGAGUGCGGCAGAGGGGGGUGGAAUUCCACGUGUAGCAGUGAAAUGCGUAGAGAUGUGGAGGAACACCGAUGGCGAAGGCAGCCCCCUGGGUCGACACUGACGCUCAUGCACGAAAGCGUGGGGAGCAAAC
RNAcentral lists this ribosomal RNA (247 nucleotides) under uncultured Sterolibacterium sp. RNAcentral's name for it is "partial 16S ribosomal RNA". It matches the Rfam family "Bacterial small subunit ribosomal RNA", at positions 527 to 773 of the family's 1533-position model. The record is from RNAcentral. Lineage: Bacteria; Pseudomonadati; Pseudomonadota; Betaproteobacteria; Nitrosomonadales; Sterolibacteriaceae.